GAUGAACGCUGGCGGCGUGCUUAACACAUGCAAGUCGAACGGAAACUACUCGCUGAAGCGAGCUUGCUCAAUUCUUGAGUAGUUUUAGUGGCGGACGGGUGAGUAACGCGUGGGUAACCUGCCAUGUACCGGGGGACAACAGUUGGAAACGACUGCUAAUACCGCAUAAGCGCACAGGACCGCAUGGUCAAGUGUGAAAAACUCCGGUGGUACAUGAUGGACCCGCGUCUGAUUAGCUAGUUGGUGAGGUAACGGCCCACCAAGGCGACGAUCAGUAGCCGGCCUGAGAGGGUGAACGGCCACAUUGGGACUGAGACACGGCCCAGACUCC
Molecule: ribosomal RNA, 331 nt
Filed under: uncultured Lachnospiraceae bacterium
Lineage: Bacteria; Bacillati; Bacillota; Clostridia; Lachnospirales; Lachnospiraceae
Description: bacterial SSU rRNA
Rfam family: Bacterial small subunit ribosomal RNA
Source: RNAcentral